UUAAUAACCCUGAAGGUUGAAGGACUUUGGCCACAGAACAGAUAUGACAUGGGCAGUGGCAGUGUAAGCUUCUUCACUGCCCCACCUGUGACCUGGAAGGACCACUUCUAAAGUUAAGAAGGUAGCUCAUUCUCUAUCUUCUGUCAGUCCUUUGCCUCU
Chelonoidis abingdonii (Abingdon island giant tortoise) is the source of this 159-nucleotide unclassified non-coding RNA. The record is from Ensembl. Lineage: Eukaryota; Metazoa; Chordata; Testudines; Testudinidae.